RNAcentral lists this ribosomal RNA (480 nucleotides) under uncultured bacterium. RNAcentral describes it as "bacterial SSU rRNA". It matches the Rfam family "Bacterial small subunit ribosomal RNA", at positions 28 to 505 of the family's 1533-position model. The record is from RNAcentral.
GAUGAACGCUAGCAGAAUGCCUAACACAUGCAAGUCGAACGACUCUUGUUGAUAAUUGAUCACUUCGGUGAGAUUGCAUCGACGCUGAGAAGUGGCAAACGGGCGAGUAACACGUACUUAAUCUACCCUGUGGUCGUGGACAACUAUGGAGACAUAGCUAAUCCACGAUAUCUCAAUAAAAUGAAAAUAUAUUGAGCAAAGAUUUAUCGCCAUAGGAUGAGGGUGCGACCUAUCAGGUAGUUGGUGAGAUAAUAGCUCACCAAGCCUAUGACGGGUAGCCGGUCUGAGAGGAUGUCCGGCCGCAAUGGGACUGCGACACGGCCCAUACCCCUACGGGGGGCAGCAGUGGGGAAUCUUGCACAAUGGGCGAAAGCCUGAUGCAGCAAUUCUGCGUGGAGGACGACGCAUUACGGUGUGUAAACUCCUUUUCUGGAGGAAGACGAAUGACGGUACUUCAGGAAUAAGGGACGGCUAACUAAG